AGCUGGGGGAUCAAGCUGGUGAGGCAAGAGCGCUAACCACUGCGCCACCGUGCAGCCCUGUACAUUGUCACUGGGACUAAAUGUGAUUCCAGGAAAACAUGCAGCAAAUUAGGAGAUGGUGGUGUCUUCACCUAAUAACGAACUUUCCAAUGCCGUCUGAAGAAGCAAGAAUGCAGCCAGAAAAAGGAGGAGCAGAAACUCCAGGAUGAAGAAGAUGCUUCACUGAAAAAGAUGCAUUCUGAAUCCAUCUCAGAAGGGGAAGGUGACAUGAAGACCAGCAGUGGGACAGGAAGGAAUGAAGAAGAUGCUUUACUACACAGCACCAUUGAGGCAGCCACAUGGUGCAAUUGUGCAGUCCUUUAAAGGAAGAUGUUCCCUGCCUGAUGUUCUGGGGGUGGAUGAAGGAGAACAGAAGGAGAUUCUUAAAGAGCUCCAAAACUGCUCCCUCAUGAGUGAAGAUGAGAGAUUGGUGGAACUGAGGGAGCUUUUCGUCUUUUCAUUUCAGUUUUUCAGUGACUGUGAAGCAUUUUGUACAGAAAUUAUGGACAAUCAAAACUUAAAGGUGUAUGUAUGUUUUGAGGAACAGUAAAUCGCAGUGUCUGCUGUUUUUGUUUUUUCCAUGUUUUUUUUGUCUAUAUUUGUAUAUGUAUGAUGCUCUAUGACUGUAGCAUUACAUUCAUUCAUCUUCUAUUCCGUUUAA
This is a long non-coding RNA of Oryzias latipes (Japanese medaka), 700 nucleotides long. RefSeq lists it as uncharacterized. The record is from RefSeq and is a predicted model, not a curated record. Lineage: Eukaryota; Metazoa; Chordata; Actinopteri; Beloniformes; Adrianichthyidae.